UAUCCACUCGACCCACUCCUCCUCUCCGCAGCCGGCAUCCCCUUCUCCUCCAUCGACAGCGUCCCUGGCGACCCACUCCUCCAUCGACGGUGACGGCGACGGCCUCCUAAGAUCCACAAGAUCAAGAGGAGGCCUGCACCCUCUGCGUCCACGACACCCUCUGCAGUUGCCAUCCCCCCAGAGAAGUGAGAUGGCUGGCUUGGAAGGUUUCAAGUUCUUCGAGAUUGUAAUUGAGAAAUCUUGCAGUA
Molecule: long non-coding RNA, 248 nt
Organism: Triticum dicoccoides
Lineage: Eukaryota; Viridiplantae; Streptophyta; Magnoliopsida; Poales; Poaceae
Exons: 3
Source: RefSeq, a predicted model, not a curated record